GACGAACGCUGGCGGCGUGCUUAACACAUGCAAGUCGAACGGAAAGGCCCUGCUUUUGUGGGGUGCUCGAGUGGCGAACGGGUGAGUAACACGUGAGUAACCUGCCCUUGACUUUGGGAUAACUUCAGGAAACUGGGGCUAAUACCGGAUAGGAGCUCCUGCUGCAUGGGGGGGGUUGGAAAGUUUCGGCGGUGGGGGAUGGAUUCGCGGCUUAUCAGCUUGUUGGUGGGGUAGGGGCUGACCAAGGCUUUGACGGGUAGCCGGCCUGAGAGGGUGACCGGCCACAUUGGGCCUGAGGUACGGCCCAGACUCCUACGGGCGGCAGCAGUGGGGAGUAUUGCACAAUGGCCGGACGCCUGAUGCAGCAACGCCGCGUGCGGGAUGACGGCCUUCGGGUUGUAAACCGCUUUCGCCUGUGACGAAGCGUGAGUGACGGUAAUGGGUCAAGAAGCACCGGCUAACUACGUG
RNAcentral lists this ribosomal RNA (468 nucleotides) under uncultured bacterium. Its description in RNAcentral is "partial 16S ribosomal RNA". It matches the Rfam family "Bacterial small subunit ribosomal RNA", at positions 28 to 507 of the family's 1533-position model. The record is from RNAcentral.